This 222-nucleotide ribosomal RNA is filed under the name uncultured bacterium. RNAcentral describes it as "partial 16S ribosomal RNA". It matches the Rfam family "Bacterial small subunit ribosomal RNA", at positions 15 to 217 of the family's 1533-position model. The record is from RNAcentral.
GAUCAUGGCUCAGGACGAACGCUGGCGGCGUGCCUAACACAUGCAAGUCGAACGGAACUGUUUUGAAAGAUUUCUUCGGAAUGAAUUUGAUUUAGUUUAGUGGCGGACGGGUGAGUAACGCGUGAGUAACCUGCCUUCAAGAGGGGGAUAACAUUCUGAAAAGAAUGCUAAUACCGCAUGACAUAUCGGAAUCACAUGAUUCUGAUAUCAAAGAUUUUAUCG